This 463-nucleotide ribosomal RNA is filed under the name uncultured bacterium. Its description in RNAcentral is "partial 16S ribosomal RNA". It matches the Rfam family "Bacterial small subunit ribosomal RNA", at positions 29 to 507 of the family's 1533-position model. The record is from RNAcentral.
ACGCACGCUGGCGGCGUGCUUAACACAUGCAAGUCGAACGAUGAACCGGUUUCGGCCGGGGAUUAGUGGCGAACGGGUGAGUAACACGUGGGCAAUCUGCCCUGCACUCUGGGAUAAGCCCGGGAAACUGGGUCUAAUACCGGAUACGACACUCCGAGGCAUCUUGGGGUGUGGAAAGUUCCGGCGGUGCAGGAUGAGCCCGCGGCCUAUCAGCUUGUUGGUGGGGUAAUGGCCUACCAAGGCGACGACGGGUAGCCGGCCUGAGAGGGUGACCGGCCACACUGGGACUGAGACACGGCCCAGACUCCUACGGGAGGCAGCAGUGGGGAAUAUUGCACAAUGGGCGAAAGCCUGAUGCAGCGACGCCGCGUGAGGGAUGACGGCCUUCGGGUUGUAAACCUCUUUCAGCAGGGAAGAAGCGAAAGUGACGGUACCUGCAGAAGAAGCACCGGCUAACUACGUG